GUUUCUUUUUAUUAGUCGCUAGAUAGUACAAAAUUGCACUAUCCAGCGACUAAUAAAAAGAAACGGAGGGAGUAAUUAAUUAGCACAAGCAACAGAAAUAAACAAAACAUGUCGCUGUCACCUGCUCCGAUGCCUUUGAUUGCAGUGGGUGGUGUGGAUCAUCAGAAGCGCAUCCAAGGUCAGGUCAGGUGUGUGGGGGCAUGGCAUGGCAGGUAUGGAGGAGUUGCUGACGCUGCUGUUCAACGCGCUGCUGCUGGUGUUCGUGGUGAAGCUCUUGCUGGCCUUGUUCCACACCAAGAUCAUCGUCAUCCUCCUCUACAUCCUCGUCCUCCUCUUCGCCAUGCUCCUCUCCGGCAGAUUCCCCGGUUGAUAUUAUCUACUCAUACUCCCCCAUCUGAGUUGUUCUCGCUUGUAGCCCUGCCCUGUAUCACGUCUACUAUUAAAGUAACCUCCAUUCACAAAUACUAUCAUAUACACAGAUUGUCUUCGAUUGAUUGAUCUGUUGGAUUGGAUUGGAUCUGAAAGGAGCCGGAAAUGGGGAAAAAUGAGGAGUAAGAAGAGAAAAGGGAGCGCCGCCGCGAGGGAAAGGGCCAAGGAAAGGGAAGGCUCUUCUUUUGCCCUCCCAGCGAAACCAAGCCCCGUUCUGGAAGGGAGGCGGAGACCUUUCGUUGCACAGCACAGCACAGCCACCGUGUAACUGCCGGAACACGGAUGGGGAUCCGCCGUUGCAUUCUCUCUUCUCCACACCAUAAGCAGGACACCGAUGCUAUUUCCACUACACCAUAAGCAGUGAUGGUUGGCGAAGUAAUCCGAUUCCAAUGCAGACAUUUUUCCAGUCAGCAAUGGGCACUGCAUCUAGUUUCAUCUGCGCUAUCUCCUGGUUCUUUUCAGUCAGCAGCCAUUGGUGGCGAAAUCAGGAUCCGAAUAGCUUGCUGUUCUGUAUGUAUUGAACUGCUGAUCACGCUAAUCAGUGUACGUCGUGGCAAGAAC
Molecule: unclassified non-coding RNA, 990 nt
Filed under: Zea mays
Lineage: Eukaryota; Viridiplantae; Streptophyta; Magnoliopsida; Poales; Poaceae
Description: misc RNA Zm00001eb033210
Source: RNAcentral